AUACGUAGGGUGCAAGCGUUAAUCGGAAUUACUGGGCGUAAAGCGUGCGCAGGCGGUUUUGUAAGACAGAGGUGAAAUCCCCGGGCUCAACCUGGGAACUGCCUUUGUGACUGCAAGGCUAGAGUACGGCAGAGGGGGAUGGAAUUCCGCGUGUAGCAGUGAAAUGCGUAGAUAUGCGGAGGAACACCGAUGGCGAAGGCAAGCCCCUGGGCCUGUACUGACGCUCAUGCACGAAAGCGUGGGGAGCAAACAGGAUUAAAUUCCCUGGUAGUCCACGGCCUAAACGAUGUCAACUGGUUGUUGGGGCUUCAUUGACUCAGUAACGAAGCUAACGCGUGAAGUUGACCGCCUGGGGAGUACGGCCGCAAGGUUGAAACUCAAAUGAAUUGACGGGG
Molecule: ribosomal RNA, 395 nt
Filed under: uncultured bacterium
Lineage: Bacteria
Description: partial 16S ribosomal RNA
Rfam family: Bacterial small subunit ribosomal RNA
Source: RNAcentral